CCCCUGAUGAAAUUUCGGUUUCAAUGGUCAACAUUAGGUCUGUACGAUCGAUGGUGAUGAUGAAGGAGUAAACCGAUGGAUUAAGGGUGUGAUGUUAAACGUGUCAUGGGUUAAAGUUCCGCCGAGUCGUCGAUGCGCCCAACUUUCCUCGCACAUCCUGGUGAAAGAGGUCCGUUUAUACACCGCGUCACCAUGACGUCACGGUACGUUUCGCAACAGUUCUCGCGAGAUCUGAAAGAGCUGCGGCCCACACAAGGGCGCGGGUUUUGCGUUCUCCUAAUCUCGAUAAUAAAGCCAACCGGUUAUCCUCUUUUCACAAUACUCUUCUUUCCUUUCUUUUUCCCCCCUUCGUUCUUCGUUUUUCCGCUACAUUUCUGGAUCUCGGGUCGCACCCCCCGUUGGCAGAGUGGCCGUUUUUUGAGUUAUGGGGGCUCGGGAGAGGGUUGAAAAGUCUUUGCUGCAAGUGGAGCGUUCACAGCAUUUUCUUUCUCGAAAAGGUGAAGGAACAGACGUGGGAGUGCUUGCUCAACUUGUUCCAGACGUGUGCCACUCUUUCAACUUCCUGUUUCCUUGUUUCCAUAUCUCAUGAUUUGUUUGCACAUUUGGUGGCCUAUUUAUCUAUUGUACCAUGUUCGACCAGUUUCUCAUUGAUAUUUAUUUCAUUUUUUUGACAGGCUUUCAAAUGUGAGCUGUCCAAGUUUUGGAACAAUGAUACAAGCUCUGGAGCAAACUGGCUUGCUCUCCAUGAAUCCUUCCCUUUUUUACUUUUCUUAUAGUUAUAAAAGAGCGAGUGUCCAGUGUCCCAUGUGCAACUUUUUGUUUUUUGAGUAGUAUUUAUUUAUUUAUUUAUUUAUUUAUUUUUUGCAGAUAUUUUGGCAACCUGGAAUGAUAUUCUCAAAGCCAAAUUCAUACCGUGUCACGUUGAGAAGCUUUUACAAGAGCAGAGGCCGGUCGACGUUGAACCUCGGCAGGAGGUGCAAAGCGGUGCACACAUGCUUCGCACUCGAGAGGAUGGAUCCAGCAGGAGCCCUGAUAUUCUAUACUCGAGAACAAGCAAGGAACAGGAGAAGUCUUUAGACCUCAGACAGAGACCCAAUGGCAUAUCAAAGCAUCAUACGGUUGCCAGGUGCCAAGACAUUUGGAGUGACAUGGAUGCAACUCAGCUCAAGGCAUUCCAGCUGAUGUCAGAACAGGAUAGGUUGAAAAGUGUGAGACAUAGAAGGCAUGCGAAGACCUAUACCUGUAAAGAUGCUGCUUCUCCUGAAACGGGAGAAGCACAAGUUCAGUACCUGAAUGAGGAGAUGGGGUUGCACCCAACUGGACAUGCUGAAGUGGCUUGCAAUGGUUUUGUGUCAACCAUUUGCUGUGGACUUGGAAAAUGUGCACAAACUCUUGCUGUUGGGAAGGAAGGGAAAUGCAGUAUGCACCAUCUAGAAAUAGGGAGUGGCCAUGACAGCCAAAUUAAUAUGACCCCUCAGCUUCGCUCUGACCAUCCUGCUGCAGCAGAGGCUUUUCGAUUAUUGACCUGUAAUGGGUCACCUCAACAUAAAGUUGGCAGUAGUGAUGAAUCAUCUCCCCUUCAUGUGCAGGACACGUGUCAGGAUAAAAGGCCAUCCCGACUCAGCAAAUCACAUGCCAGCCAGUCUCGAGGCCAUCUUUGGAACCAAGAUAGUUUUGCGUGCCAGAGAGAUAUUGCUCCCAUUCAUAAGGCACUUCAGCCGAAAAUGAAGGGCCAAGUUGUGGUUGACCCUUCUUUUUGUGGCAGCUGGUAUCAUGAACAGGGUAAUAGGUCAAGUAUACACCAAAAGAAAAUGGAAACGACUCCAGAUCUGAAUUGCAAAGGUGUCGGAGUGAAGUCACCUGUUCCGGGUGUGAGUCGUCUGAGCGAGUGUUGUGCUGACGCAGUGUAUGAAGUUUCUUCCAUGGAUUAUUGUGGACUACCAACUCAUUUGCUUAAUAUUCUGGAUGAUCUUCAACUUGAACCUUCUACGAAUGGGUCUUGCAGCCCACUGUCAUCAAAGAGUCAGACGAAACCUGCAUUCCUGUGUUCAAAAGAAUUGGAGAUGGAGAUUCCUUACCACCAGCAAUGUGCACAGAGAGCGACUGACAAGGACUCUGUACGGCAACUACUGCACAGUUGUCCUGAAUCAAUGUUUGUGGAAGCUCCUGGGACAUUGAAUGGGCACCUUCCAGGAAGUGCAUUUGUUCACUCUCACUCGCAGCAUGGCAUUCAGCUUCGUCAGAACGACACAGGGACACCUCAGAGAGAUGUAUCCCACACCUCAUUGUCACAAAUUUCUGAUUCUAAAUCUAAACUUGGGGCUCAAGGUGCUGGAUCUGCAAGGAGACCAUCAAGAAAUUGUUGUGGAGGUGAAGAGGACAGGAUAGAAACGGUGCGAGCAACGGCCACUGAACUGACGAGGAGAUUACAAGUCGAGGCUAAUAAUUUGAAGAAAGCUCGUGCAACCAUGGAAAGAUUUGUCAAGUCGGAUGGAAAAGUGAAAGAAGAUGAAAUUGUAGAUGCUUGUGAGGAUGAAAAUUACAAAGGCAGGCUCCGGAAGGGCCCACAGUCUCAAUGUUCAAAGGGGCUGAUGACUAUUUGUCAAGAGAAUAGCAAAAAGCACUGCCGUAAACAAGAAAUGGAUUCUGAAAGAGACUCUUGUGGUCCAGGGAAUGAGGGUCGAAAGAGAGAAUGCUACAGACAUGCAAGGGAUGGUGUGGAGCGGUCAGUGGAGCGCCUGCGUGCACAGAAGUGGAAACCAAAUUUUCACGAUUUCUCCUCGUCGUUGGACUGUUCUGACGAGUCAUCCAUUUCACUUCCAGUCAGCCACACAGCAUCCCCAUGCACCGAAAGCAACCGCAGCAUUGAAUUUGAAGAAGGUUCUGUCCUCUUUCAUUCCCAGAAGCCUUGUUGCUCUGCAAGAUGUUCACCAUGCUCCUCAAAAUCUCACCAGCUUUUCAGGAACCACACCCAGCACAGGUACACACACUGUAGACCUCUGUUAAUAUGUUCGUUUUUGUGUCUGCAAUUGCCAUUGUAUUUUCUGUAUUCUUGAACUGAGAUUUUUGCCUUAAAAGGGUGAACCUUUAGGGAAGGAGAAAUUGGUGCCAUAACUCAACCAAAAAGGCUAAAGUUAAAACUUCAUUACAAAAUUUAAAAAAGUUUACAAUCCGAGCGUUAAGGAAGUAUUUUGUCUGCCCAUUUUGAAAAAUAUGUUGUGUCCUUUUUGCCUAUUAUUCUGAUUGCCAUUUUAUCUUUUGCCGUACUUUUCAUGCAUAGCGUGUCGAAAGCUUGUUGAUAAAAGUACAGUAUGUUCUUUCUCAUUGGGUUGUGAUUAAUCCUGUGCCAGCAGCCACUUUUGUGUUGUGCUAAGUGCACUUCAUCGCUCCUUGGCCUGGUUUGUAAAGUUGCUGCAAAAUGCAACGAAAAGUGAAGGUAAUCUCUGUCACAACUUGAAGCAAAAACAGCUGCUCGAUGUCUGUCUGGUGAUGAAACGACACUUCGUUGAGUCGUGCACGAUUUGCUUUUGUUGUUUUCUUUUCUCAAUUUCAGUAACAAGACAACACAAUUUGGUUCUUAAAUCUGCAGGCUGAAGUCUAAGCAAAGCUCUACCUCAUGAUUUAAACCACCUGAGUCAAAUUUAUGGCCAGAUUGAGUGAUUUAGCCAAAUGUUUCUUUUGAUUGCAAUUUUCAGUCUUCAAAGUUGCUUGAUCUCGGUUUUCUUUUGUGGGCAGAUAUUUCUGUGUAGUUAAAAACUUGGCCAAUCGAUCACUGCACUGCUUGCUCAGAAAGAAAUUUAUUCACAAUCUCACUUCAACUUUUGAUGCAUUUCCUCCAGUUGAGUGAGAGAGAGAAAGGUUGGAAGCAAGGUGUGUUGCAGAUUGGACUCUUGAGCUAUAGCAGCUACUUGUAUGCAGGAGUACCACAUUUCCUGCCAGUAAACUUAUCCACUUAUUCCGAGGAAAGGAAGGGCAUCCCAUGAUGCUCCCAAUGGUUAGUCGACCUGCCUAAUUGUUUUGUACGCAUUUUUACUCUUGGACAAUGGUACCUCAAUCGGUGAAAAUGAUAUGUCAAAAAUAUUGUUGCAUAAUCUUCUUCCUGCUCUUCCACCAUUAUCCCACCUUUGUUGUGGGGUUGGCUGGGGGAAGCUUUGCCCAAGUCUUCACAAACCUGACGUUCUACUAGUUAGGGCAGGAAUUUGGGAAUUGGGAAUUGGGCUGGUGAUAGCUCGCCUACUUUUCGUGAAGGACACCAUGGGAUCUUUAAUGUCCACCAACAAAUGCUGGCAGACAGGAUGCCUGUUUAACGUCCAUCCGGGGGACGGCGCACACAUUGAUGAAUCACCCUGCCUGUGACACAUCAGGCUGACAGUUUAUAGCCUGGCUGGUAAUCGGACCCAGGCAAGACAAGCCUAGAGGCGAGUGUGUGUACCUCUCGGCCAUCCUGCCAGCCCUGUAGCACAAUAUAUAUAUAUUUUAUUUAUUUUUAUUUUAUGCCUCCCUUUUCAAAGACGCCGAAGGUAUUAUAUUUUCGGUUUGUCCGUCUCUCCAUGAUGAUACUGUUGCUAACGACAACUUGUAAAGCGCUGAAGGGUUGUUUUUUUGUUUGUUUUUUCAAACUUGGCAUAACUGAAAUGGACUGUAACACGAAGAUGAACUUAUUAUGUUUUGUGUUGAAAAGGUCAAAGGCCUAUGAUUAGGUAUCCUUGAAUGAAAAAUCUGUGUUACUGUUGCUGAAAUAACUUAUGAACCAUUCAAGAUUUCAACAAAACUUGAUGCAUGACUGGACAGCAAUACAAAGAUGAACGAGUUAAAUUUUAGUGAACAGGUCAAAGGCCAUUUUCCCUUUGAAAAUAAUUUUGCAGACAUAACUCGACUUCAAAGCAUCUGACAUUGUCUCUCUUCUUCCCCCGUCCCCCCCCCUUUUCCCCUCUAUCUUUCCCACCCCCCCUCUCUCAUGUGACCUUUAAUUGAGAUCAAAUGUAACAGUGGGUUUACAUCUACCAUGAGCAGAAGCAUAUCCAUUGUUGUAUUUCAUCAAAUUCUAUUUUCGAGUUGUGAAAUAAUUUGCCCAAAUGUUGUUUUACUCGUAAUGAAAAAUCAUUGGACAUACGUAUUUGGGAGAGGGAGUUGGAGGGGAAAGCAUGAGCAGAAGCAUAUCCAUUGUUGUAUUUCAUCAAAUUCUAUUUUCGAGUUGUGAAAUAAUUUGCCCAAAUGUAGUUUUACUCGUAAUGAAAAAUCAUUGGACAUACGUAUUUGGGAGAGGGAGUUGGAGGGGAAAGGCAGGUCUCAGUCAGAAAAACUUUGUGCAAUUGAUGGAAUUGAACAACUGCUUUGUUUUGCACUUUGCCAAAAAUCGUUAUCUUAUCUUUUGAUAACCUUUCCCGAGCAAUGCUAUUUGUUGUCACAAGCUGGCAAAAAAAUCUUUGCCAAACUUGUGACCUGAGCAGUGGCACGAAAAUUGUGAUUCGACCUGUAGGAAAAUUCCCCAGUGAGAAAUUACAAAUCCAUGAAAUAUGUUGUCAUUAAUUGAUUAAUGAGCUCGGACCUGUAAUUCCUGGUAUAUUCUGCCCCGUCCCCCCUUCCACUCACCAAAUCCCCCAACCAUCCACACCAACCCCUCUCACUAAUUGAUGUACGAGCAUUGGAUUUCAGCAUUAUUCUUCGUAUUGUAUUUAGUAUUGAAAUGCUGGUAGGACAGAUGAGAGGGAGGUCACUUGCCUUUCAGCUGUCCUGUUUGGGUUUGAUUCCCAACCUGACUAUAUUCUGUCAUUGAUGUUUCACACGCAGGCCAUUGCAUUAAUAGGUGUGCACUCAGUCAGACAAGACGCUAUACUUGGAGUCUGCCUGCCAGCAUUAACUUUCUGCUUGUAGACGUUAAAGAUUCCACUCUCAGAUGGUUUAAAUCACGAGGCAGAGCUGUGCUUAAACUUCAUCAUGCAGAGUUAAGAACCAAAUUGUGUCUUGUUUCUGAAAAUUGAGAGAGAAAAAUACAACAAACGCAAAUCAUGCACGACUCAACAAAUGUUGUUUCGUCACCACACAGACAUCGAGCAGCUGUUUUUGCUUCAAGGUGCGCUGGAGGUUACCUGUAAAUCCAAAAUUCCAGUCGACUGCAAUUAUUACCUCAGGUAAGGUGACACAAACCACCCAACGUGUACAUUGAUUUUCGUUGUUGGUUCAUAUGCACAUUGGACUGGAAAUCAUUUGCGAGUUAGACCCGCAGAUGUUGACCAUUUUCUAAGGCCUGCAGUUGUGCCGUUGAUGCAUUUCCCCCUUGGCGUUGGGGCAAGAAUUUUUAAUUUGUACAGGAUUCGAGUGAAAACUUGCCUAACAUUUGCGAAAAACACGUGGGUUAUCAUCACCAGUUAAUGUCGGCAGAUGGGUCGCAAGCUUCGCGUCCAUUCGAGUGUUGGAAUACUUGGUGAUGCAAUGCCCCGCUUGUGGAGCAUCAUUGAGAUUGUGUGUAGUCAGGCCAACAGUGAAACCUUGGACUAAACAGCUCAAAGGCAAGUGUGCUACCUCUGCACCUGCACCGUGCUGUCAGACAGACUGCUUCAUAGCACUUUGGACAGACCAAUGAAAGUAGUGAGAGGCAGUUGUCUCGUUGCAACAAAUUUAUCCAUUCUGGGACUACGGUCUUUUGAUGAUUUGUUCUCAUGGGGACAUUCCACUUCACCCCCAAAAAGUGGCUGAGUAUUCUUGUCAGUUCGAGUGUGAUGAACCAAAGCGACAUCACUUACGACAGAACGAAACCGUCACUUGACCUUUCCCGGCACAGAUGUCACAGCUGCUGUCCAGACAAUUCCAUGGGAGUGCUUACAAACUACUGUGGAUGACUUGGAUGGAGGAGUACCUCAACUGAUAAAUGGCGGUCAUAUGGAGUUGUUUUAAAUGCAAACAAGUUGACAACAUCCGAUAGCAUUAACAAUUGGGUCCAAGUCUGAGCUAUAAACCAUCCAUUUUGCACCAAAAAUAAUGGGACGUGCAAAUAUUUGUAUCUUUUUCUCCAAACUUUUGUUUUAAAACAUUUUAUUUUCAUCAAUUGUCGAUUUUAAAAUAUUUUGGAAGCCUUUUGAUAUUAGGCAGUACUCUGUGCAAUAAGACAAAAUGGUUGUGUAUGUCACAAGUGAGUGUGGCAUGCUGUAUGUAUACAAUGAUGGCACCCAGAGCAUUGGCCAUCUUAGGAAUGUUGUUUAUGUUGAUAAAGAAAAUUGUUUCAAUACCUUAAUUUUUUUUGUAGUUGCAUCAGUUGGAGCACACAGGCCUUAUUCAGAGGCAUUUUUACGUGAAGGGUGAACACACCUUCGGUCAACAUUCCUUCAGAAUUUGUCAUUGAUGGCCUGCUGUAUUUAUUUACUAACAAAUACCACCCAUCGCUUCGCUGAUGGAAAUACAAGAG
Molecule: long non-coding RNA, 7402 nt
Organism: Eptatretus burgeri (inshore hagfish)
Lineage: Eukaryota; Metazoa; Chordata; Myxini; Myxiniformes; Myxinidae
Source: Ensembl